CACGUAGGGGGCAAGCGUUGUCCGGAUUUAUUGGGCGUAAAGAGCUCGUAGGCGGCUUAGUAAGUCGGGUGUGAAACCUCCAGGCUCAACCUGGAGACGCCACCCGAUACUGCUGUGGCUAGAGUCCGGUAGGGGAGCGUGGAAUUCCUGGUGUAGCGGUGAAAUGCGCAGAUAUCAGGAGGAACACCAGCGGCGAAGGCGGCGCUCUGGGCCGGAACUGACGCUGAGGAGCGAAAGCGUGGGGAGCAAACAGG
This 254-nucleotide ribosomal RNA is filed under the name uncultured bacterium. RNAcentral describes it as "partial 16S ribosomal RNA". It matches the Rfam family "Bacterial small subunit ribosomal RNA", at positions 524 to 776 of the family's 1533-position model. The record is from RNAcentral.